AAAGAACAGUGAAAUAGUACAAUUUGUGGAAACAAACACAGCUCGACAUUAGGGUGUCACCAGUCAUGAGCAUCUAACAUAAGUCUAAGAGUAUGAAAAAAAUACUAAAUAGUCUACUACAAUUCAGUACAAAAGAAGACAAAAAUAUGAAGGAGAAGCACUGUGCUGCGAAACGCCGAGCAACUACCUAAUGAUCUCCGCACGGUCUGCCGGAAGCAAUCAACCCUCGCUAGCAGGGCCCAAAGCUCCUGAAUCUGCACACAGAGUGCAGGGAGUAAUGUGAGUACUCCAACUCAGUGAGUAAUAAAAAUAAAUGAAGGCUGAGCGAUAAGAAAACACGUAAAAUCACAGCAAAAUGCUAUAAAAAGACAGCGAAAAACCUUUGCAAAGCAACAAAAUAGUGAAAUCUCAUAAAACACCUUAGUUCAGUAUAAGAUUCUUUAAAACAUCUUUUAAUAGUUAAACAAGUGAAUGAAAAGCAGCGAGAAAAGGAUAAACACAUAAAAUCAGCCCCUCGGGCACAAUAUCAACAGAAUCAGCCCCUCGAGCAAUAACCUAGAACCAUAUCAGCCCCUCGGUCUAUAUCACAUAUUACACUGGGUACCCGCGCUCACNNNNNNNNNNNNNNNNNNNNNNNNNNNNNNNNNNNNNNNNNNNNNNNNNNNNNNNNNNNNNNNNNNNNNNNNNNNNNNNNNNNNNNNNNNNNNNNNNNNNNNNNNNNNNNNNNNNNNNNNNNNNNNNNNNNNNNNNNNNNNNNNNNNNNNNNNNNNNNNNNNNNNNNNNNNNNNNNNNNNNNNNNNNNNNNNNNNNNNNNNNNUGGUGUAAAACUCAGGCCAUCGGCCUCAUAUCAUGAAUAAACUCAAUAUCUCUACGGCUCGCAACCCAAUCCCAUAAUAACCUCAAAAUAUAGGCCCUCCGCCCUACUCAGUCAGAAACCUCUAAAGCCACCCGGGCACAGUAAAUAUGAUGUUCAACUCAAAAUAUCAUUUAAGAUGUCAAAAUAGUAUAAACAUGGUCGAGUUAUGAAAACAGUGGAAUAUAACAUGACUGAGUACAAAUAUAAAUUCAAAACAGUGAGGAAUAGGAGUAAAAAUCCCCUAAGAGUUCAAAACAGUUGGCACGAGGCCCAAAUAUGGCAUUCAGCCCAAAACAUGAUGAUAACAAACAGUUUUCAAUCAAAUACGCAGUAAAACAGUCAUUCGGGACGGACAAAGUCACAAUCCCCAACAGUGUAUGACUCUAUGCUCGUCAUCUAGCGUGUGCGUCACCUCAAUAUAGCACAACGAUAUGGAAUCCGGGGUUUCAUACCCUCAGGACAACAUUUACAAUCAUUACACACCUCUAUCCGGUCCAAACUCUAGCCCGCGAUGCCUUUGCCUCUCGAAUCGGCCUCCGGAUGCUCCAAAUCUAACCAAAAUCAGUGCAAAGCCAUCAAUAUAUGCUAAGGGAACAAACCCACUCGAAAGAAAUCAAAUUACAACACAAAUCCCGAAAUUGGCCAAACCCGACCCCUGGGCCUACGUCUCGGAAUCCGAUAAAGAUUACAUCAAUGGACUCCUUAUCACUCCCCGAGUUCAUUCAUAUCAAAAUUACCAAAAUCUAACCACAAACGACCCCUCAAAUCCCAAAUUCUAGGUCUCCAAUUACAAGCCCUAGUUCUUCAAUAUUUAGGCUUAAAUUCUACAAAUUCCAUGAUUAAUUAGGUACAAAUCACAUUAAGAUUGAGUAUUAAGUCCAUAAAUCUUACCUCCAAGUGUUCCCCCUUGAUUCCCUCUUCAAUCCCCUUCAAAAAGCUUCAAAAUUGCCCAAAAAUGGAGGAACUUAGACCCAAAAUCGCGGAAAUAGGUCUUUUAAACAUUCUGCUCAGCACUUAAAUUCUCUUCUUCGCGAAUGCGGUCAACGCCUCGCGUUCGCGAAGCACAAACUCAUGUUGACCAUUUUUCCUUCAUUGCAAUCGCAACUCGCCGUGCGCGAAAACGAAGGCUUGGUUCCAAAAUCAUCGCGAACGUGAUUCCCUACCCACAAACGCGAAGAACAAAUCGACCUGGACCCAACUGCUCACUUUUCCUCUACGCGAACGCGGCUAAACCCUCGCGAACGCGAUGACCACGAGCCCCAGCCCAUCGCGAAUACGAGACCACCUUCACAAAUGCGAAGGCUAAUUCCACUACCUCACGUCCUAACCCUUUGCGAUCGCGGGACAUCCAUCGCAAACGCGACGGUCAAAAACCUACAACACCGACAAUAGUUUUUCUGCAAUUUCCUUUAACACGAAAUGAUCCGUUUAACCACCCGAAACUCACCUAUGGCCGUCGGGACCUCAACCAAACAUUCCAACAUAUCCUUUAACAUCAUUCAAACUUGUUCCAACCUUCGGAACGCUCAAAACAACAUCAAAACACCAAAUUUCCAUUAGAUUCAAGCCUAAGAAUUCCAAAAUCUUCCAAAUUCCGCUUUCGAUCAAAACGUCUAUCAAACCACGUCCGAAUGACCUAAAAUUUUGCACACACAUCCAAAAUGACACAACGGACCUACUGCAACUUCUGAAAUUCUAUUCCGUCCCCUAAAUCAAAAUUUCACCUACCAACCGGAUAAUGCCAAAAUUUCAAUUUCGCCAAUUCAAGCCUAAAUCUACUCCACACCUCCAAAACACAUUCCAAUCACGCUCAUAAGUCCCAAAUCACCUCUCGAAGCUAUCCGAACCAUCAGAAUUCACAUCCGAACCUUUUUUCACAUAAGUCAACAUUCAGUUGACUUUUCUAACUUAAGCUUCCUCAAAAGAGACUAAGUGUCUCAAACCUUACCAAAACCUCUUCGAACCCGAGCCAACCAACCCGGUAACAUAAAAUACAGCUGAACAAGGCAAUAAGAAGUAGAAAUGGGGAAAAUAGAGCGGUAACUCAUGAAACGACCGGUCGGCUCGUUAUAGAGGGAAAUGAUGGCUUUUUGCACAUUGGAUAGUGAUGGGUUUUGGGGGCUAGGUGUGAUAGUAGAGAUGGGUGAUUGCGAGUGAGAAGAAGAGUAGAGCUCCUUGAAAUAUUUGACUAUUGCGUCUUUGAUUUCCAGGGGUUCAUACUGCCAAUUUCCUGCCUCAUCCAUGAGGGAGAGGAUUUUGUUUCUCCUUCUUCUAUUAAGGGUUGAGGUUUGGAAGAAUCUGGUGUUGACAUCACCAUUAGAAAGCCAAUUUAUUCUAGCUUUCAACUUCCAGAAGUCUUCCUCAUUUUUCAGGAUUGAGUCAAGAUCCUCGAUGAUAGUGUUUUCUAAGUUUUGGAGGAAAUAACUAAAUUGGUAGUUUGGAGAUUUUUGGAUCUUAGCAAUCCUGGCCAGUAAUCUCUUUUUUUUGUAUAAUAUGUUCCUAAAUGUAUUCUUGUUCCAAUUGGCACACCUACUUUUUCCCGAAGGAGAUAGAAGAGUUUUUCCAAUUAAAGUGACAAUAAUCAAAAUGGAAUUAUUUAUUGAAAUUCAGAGUCACCACUUGGGAUAAUUAUACGGUGUCCCAAGACACCAGUUUAUUUUAAAUCCUAAAUCGAGGAAAAUUGACUCUGUUUUAAAGGUCUCCGAAACCAGAAGACCGAGUAAAGAAUUUUGUUAACCUAGGAGAAGGUGUUAGGCAUUCUCGAGUUCCGUGGUUUUAGAACGAUCACUUUAAUCAUACCUAGCUUAAUUAAAUUGUUUAAUUACAUGUUUUAGAACCUAUAUGUGUUUUACCUGUUACCGCUUUUAAUUGUUUGAUUAUUCGUAAUUAUGAAAUUAUCUUGAAACGAGUCACGCGUACGUGUACUCAUUUUGUUUGACGCAUCAAGAAUCAUGUCACGCGUACGUGUACACAAUUAAUCAUGCUUUGUUAAUAUUAAGAAAAUUCGGCCGAAGUUGCGCGAAGACAUACUUUGGUUUAUUUUUAGGAGUCAUAAUCAUGUCACGUGAAAGUGUACACAAUUACGAUAAUUUUUUAGGAGUCAAAUCCAACCCAUAUACCUGGCAACCUAGCAUUAUAGGAUUCAUCAUUAGUUAAAAGACUUUAAUGCAACUCAAACAACAGAUAAUCUUAUACUAUGAUAUCACUAAGUGUAUUAAGCCAAGAAAAGAAUUCAAACAAAUUCAUCACAUUAAGCACCUAAAAACGUGACAACAAUCAGAGACCCGCAUAUAGUGUUAUCAAACUAAAACAAAAGAGAAGAAAGAAUGGACCUCAAGUAGCCGCACUUUCCAAUACACAAGAUCUCGAGUUCUGAUUACAAAGCAAAUUGAGCAUUUGUUCCGAAAAAACAACAACAUUUGACCAGAGAUUUGAACGGAAAAUAGGGACAAUAAAACUGGAAAUGAAGCCACGAUCGACAACACUCAACGGACAACCUCACUGACUCAAACUCCCAAAAGCAAACGAGAAGGUGAUGAGAAUAAGAAAGUAGAGCAGCAAUGGCAUGGAGCAGUAUCUGUCGUCAAACGCCAGCCAACCAGUCAUCACCUCCGGAGGCGGCGAGGCAGCGAGAACUGAAAAAGAGGCGAAGAGGGGAUGACGACAACAGUGGUCGUGGUGGCUGUUAGCUCUAGAAAGGAGGAGUUAGUCGGCUGUCUCUUUCUUUCAUGGUGUUUGGCAGCGGCAAGAAGGUGAUGAAGGAUGGUCUGGUGGCUGGAAUUGGAGGUCUGGUCGCUUGUGUUUUGGGAGUUGCGGCUGGAAUUUUGAAGAGAGGUGGGGUGCGAUUGGGUUCUUUUGU
RNAcentral lists this long non-coding RNA (4715 nucleotides) under Nicotiana tabacum (common tobacco). Its description in RNAcentral is "long non-coding RNA (NTAB_LNC016611)". The record is from RNAcentral. Lineage: Eukaryota; Viridiplantae; Streptophyta; Magnoliopsida; Solanales; Solanaceae.